AACUUUCAGCAACGGAUCUCUUGGCUCUCGCAUCGAUGAAGAACGCAGCGAAAUGCGAUAAGUAAUGUGAAUUGCAGAAUUCAGUGAAUCAUCGAAUCUUUGAACGCACCUUGCGCCCCUUGGUAUUCCGAGGGGCAUGCCUGUUUGAGUGUCAUGG
Molecule: ribosomal RNA, 157 nt
Filed under: Basidiomycota sp. RCBC_XG8D
Lineage: Eukaryota; Fungi; Basidiomycota
Description: 5.8S ribosomal RNA
Rfam family: 5.8S ribosomal RNA
About the family: 5.8S ribosomal RNA (5.8S rRNA) is a component of the large subunit of the eukaryotic ribosome.
Source: RNAcentral